Molecule: unclassified non-coding RNA, 148 nt
Filed under: soil metagenome
Description: partial internal transcribed spacer 1
Source: RNAcentral
CCGAGUUUACAACUCCCAAACCCCUGUGAACAUACCACUUGUUGCCUCGGCGGAUCAGCCCGCUCCCGGUAAAACGGGACGGCCCGCCAGAGGACCCCUAAACUCUGUUUUUAUAAUGUAAUUUCUGAGUAAACAAGCAAAUAAAUUA